Molecule: ribosomal RNA, 207 nt
Filed under: uncultured bacterium
Lineage: Bacteria
Description: partial 16S ribosomal RNA
Rfam family: Bacterial small subunit ribosomal RNA
Source: RNAcentral
CGCGUAGGCGGAUAGAAAAGUCGGAUGUGAAAUCCUAGAGCUCAACUUUAGGGCUGCAUCUGAAACUUUCUACCUUGAGGGUAGGCGGAGAAAACGGAAUUCCAUGUGUAGCGGUGAAAUGCGUAGAUAUAUGGAAGAACACCAGUGGCGAAGGCGGUUUUCUAGCUUAUACCUGACGCUGAGGCGCGAAAGCAAGGGGUGCAAACA